UACGGAGGGUGCAAGCGUUAAUCGGAAUUACUGGGCGUAAAGCGUACGCAGGUGGCUGAGUCAGUCGAUUGUGAAAGCCCUGGGCUUAACCUGGGAAUUGCAGUCGAUACUACUCAGCUAGAGUAUGGGAGAGGGUAGUGGAAUUCCCGGUGUAGCGGUGAAAUGCGUAGAUAUCGGGAGGAACAUCAGUGGCGAAGGCGGCUACCUGGCCCAAUACUGACACUCAGGUGCGAAAGCGUGGGGAGCAAACAGG
Molecule: ribosomal RNA, 253 nt
Filed under: uncultured bacterium
Lineage: Bacteria
Description: partial 16S ribosomal RNA
Rfam family: Bacterial small subunit ribosomal RNA
Source: RNAcentral